CUUGUUUUCCGCGGACUUUCCGUGCCCGUUCUGCUUGGUUUUAGCGUCGUUUUUCAUCAAUUCGUUGAGCUCCGUCGUCAUCUCUGCUCCAUAAAGAUGUCUUAUCAGCUGUAUCGCAACACCACGCUGGGCUGUAUGCUACAGGAAACGCUCGACGAGCUGCUUCAGUAUGGACAAAUUACUCCUCAUCUGUUCAGUCGGGUGUUGGUACAGUUCGACAAAUCUAUCAAUGCGGCCCUCUCGAACCGCGUCAAAUCGCGAGUCACGUUUAAGGCCGGCAAACUGAACACUUACCGCUUUUGCGAUAACGUCUGGACGCUGAUGCUGAACGACGUCGAGUUCCGGGAGGUGCACGAGUUCGCGAAGGUAGACAAAGUGAAAAUUGUUGCCUGUGAUGGCAAAAAUGUGCCGAUCACCGAAGAACCAAACCGAACAGAUCGAUAGGGCACCACCGUGCGCUGGUUCAGCUGCACGCAAAAGAGGAUAUGGUAUCAAAUCAGGGGCAAUAUAUGUUGCAUCUGUUUCCUUUACAAUUGUUUUGUAUUAUUUCCUUUGUUUUUAGUUGAUAAGUAUGUUUGCGUGCUUGUGCGAACGAAAGUGAAACAAAUAAACCGAAUACCCACAAUGUUGGAAAAGAAAGAGGAACAAAUUAGCAGCGACUGACCUCAAAACCAUCGUCUCAUUGCGUUUCCAAAAGUGUCCACGAAUGUCGCAACCCGUUUUAUUUAAAACGCCAAGAUAUGACAAA
Molecule: RNA transcript, 748 nt
Organism: Anopheles darlingi
Lineage: Eukaryota; Metazoa; Arthropoda; Insecta; Diptera; Culicidae
Gene name: transcription initiation factor IIA subunit 2-like
Exons: 4
Source: RefSeq, a predicted model, not a curated record